Molecule: ribosomal RNA, 229 nt
Filed under: uncultured bacterium
Lineage: Bacteria
Description: partial 16S ribosomal RNA
Rfam family: Bacterial small subunit ribosomal RNA
Source: RNAcentral
UCCGCAGGCGGGCAAUUAAGUCAGGGGUGAAAUGGUGCGGCUCAACCGUAGCACUGCCCUUGAUACUGGUUGUCUUGAGUCAUAGUGAAGUGGCCGGAAUAUGUAGUGUAGCGGUGAAAUGCAUAGAUAUUACAUAGAACACCGAUUGCGAAGGCAGGUCACUAACUAUCGACUGACGCUGAUGGACGAAAGCGUGGGUAGCGAACAGGAUUAGAUACCCUGGUAGUCC